GCAAUUGUCAAUAAUAGCACCUUUUGAAGUUUAUGUCUCAAAAAUAGCACUAGAAGGAGAAAGUCACAAAAAUGACAUUCAUUAAAGGGUAAAAUAUCCCUAAUACCCUUGGUUUAAAAUUAAAUAAACAAACAAAAAUAAAUAAAAAUAAAUAAAAUAAAAAUUUAAAAAAUGAAAAAAAGAUUUUUUUUUUAUAGUUUCAGAUUAUAUGUUUUCAGAUUCAAAAUUUUUAUAAUUUUUUUUUUCGAAAUUUUUUUUUUAUUUUUUAUUUUUUUCAAAUUUUCUUUUUAUAAUUUAAAAAUACUUUUUAAAACUGUUUUUAAAAUUUUUAUUUUUUAUUUUAAUAUUUUUUUUUUAUAAAAUUUUAAACCCUAAUUCCAAAACCCCACCCCUUAACUCUAAACCCUA
RNAcentral lists this long non-coding RNA (408 nucleotides) under Brassica rapa (field mustard). Its description in RNAcentral is "long non-coding RNA (BRAP_LNC006840)". Lineage: Eukaryota; Viridiplantae; Streptophyta; Magnoliopsida; Brassicales; Brassicaceae. The record is from RNAcentral.